GCAAAAGACUUUGAAAGCAUAAAACGGUGUGGAAGUUUGAAGCAUGAUGCUGUCUCCCUUUGCCCAGCUGAAGGCAGAAUGUGCUAAAGUGUGGAAAAAACAUGGCAGAUGGGGAAGAGUCAUACCAGAAAAGUAAAAGCAGCAACAGCCACAAAUAAAAGCUAAUGUUGUUUGGGAAAAUGAUGCAAGUGGUUACUGACCAAAUUUUUGGAGAAGUAUCUAACACUACUGGAUUUCACAGGAAAAAGAAGGGAAAAAAGCAUCCUACAUGA
RNAcentral lists this long non-coding RNA (272 nucleotides) under Anas platyrhynchos (mallard). RNAcentral's name for it is "lncRNA (ENSAPLG00020006809.1)". Lineage: Eukaryota; Metazoa; Chordata; Aves; Anseriformes; Anatidae. The record is from RNAcentral.